AUGAGUAGGGCGGGACACGUGGUAUCCUGUCUGAAUAUGGGGGGACCAUCCUCCAAGGCUAAAUACUCCUGACUGACCGAUAGUGAACCAGUACCGUGAGGGAAAGGCGAAAAGAACCCCGGCGAGGGGAGUGAAAAAGAACCUGAAACCGUGUACGUACAAGCAGUGGGAGCACGCUUAGGCGUGUGACUGCGUACCUUUUGUAUAAUGGGUCAGCGACUUAUAUUCUGUAGCAAGGUUAACCGAAUAGGGGAGCCGAAGGGAAACCGAGUCUUAACUGGGCGUUAAGUUGCAGGGUAUAGACCCGAAACCCGGUGAUCUAGCCAUGGGCAGGUUGAAGGUUGGGUAACACUAACUGGAGGACCGAACCGACUAAUGUUGAAAAAUUAGCGGAUGACUUGUGGCUGGGGGUGAAAGGCCAAUCAAACCGGGAGAUAGCUGGUUCUCCCCGAAAGCUAUUUAGGUAGCGCCUCGUGAAUUCAUCUCCGGGGGUAGAGCACUGUUUCGGCAAGGGGGUCAUCCCGACUUACCAACCCGAUGCAAACUGCGAAUACCGGAGAAUGUUAUCACGGGAGACACACGGCGGGUGCUAACGUCCGUCGUGAAGAGGGAAACAACCCAGACCGCCAGCUAAGGUCCCAAAGUCAUGGUUAAGUGGGAAACGAUGUGGGAAGGCCCAGACAGCCAGGAUGUUGGCUUAGAAGCAGCCAUCAUUUAAAGAAAGCGUAAUAGCUCACUGGUCGAGUCGGCCUGCGCGGAAGAUGUAACGGGGCUAAACCAUGCACCGAAGCUGCGGCAGCGACGCUUAUGCGUUGUUGGGUAGGGGAGCGUUCUGUAAGCCUGUGAAGGUGUGCUGUGAGGCAUGCUGGAGGUAUCAGAAGUGCGAAUGCUGACAUAAGUAACGAUAAAGCGGGUGAAAAGCCCGCUCGCCGGAAGACCAAGGGUUCCUGUCCAACGUUAAUCGGGGCAGGGUGAGUCGACCCCUAAGGCGAGGCCGAAAGGCGUAGUCGAUGGGAAACAGGUUAAUAUUCCUGUACUUGGUGUUACUGCGAAGGGGGGACGGAGAAGGCUAUGUUGGCCGGGCGACGGUUGUCCCGGUUUAAGCGUGUAGGCUGGUUUUCCAGGCAAAUCCGGAAAAU
Molecule: ribosomal RNA, 1139 nt
Filed under: Escherichia coli
Lineage: Bacteria; Pseudomonadati; Pseudomonadota; Gammaproteobacteria; Enterobacterales; Enterobacteriaceae
Description: partial 23S ribosomal RNA
Rfam family: Bacterial large subunit ribosomal RNA
Source: RNAcentral